RNAcentral lists this long non-coding RNA (576 nucleotides) under Anas zonorhyncha (Eastern spot-billed duck). Its description in RNAcentral is "lncRNA (ENSAZOG00000012926.1)". The record is from RNAcentral. Lineage: Eukaryota; Metazoa; Chordata; Aves; Anseriformes; Anatidae.
UCAUGGGGCAUGCCGGGAAAUGUAGUUUAGCAUUACUGCUCGGCUUCCAAGCCAGGAGUGGCAUGUUGCUCUGGGCCGUUAUUUCCUCCCCUAGACAGUGUGGCGUGCAUUUUUUCUGCUGUUUUUGAGAGGGUACUGCAGGCUGAGCGGUGCCGUGCAUGCACGUUCUUUUUUCCUUUGAGUGAUGUUACUACAUUGCUUUUUUAUUUUUUUGGCGUGUAAUGUGUUAUGCUCCUAGAUUUUUCUUCCUGUGUGAAAGAAAGGUGACUGGGUUUGGGUGCUGGGUGGAACCUAAUGGUAUAUGAGCCCCAGGUAUGGCAUCAGAGAGCUCAUUCUGCCUGGGCUGCUUCUUGGGGUGAUUUGGCUUGGGUGCUGGGUGAGACCAAAGGUAUGCUAUAUGAGCCCCAGGUAUGCUAUCAGAGCUCCUUCUGCCUGGGCUGAUCUUUGGGGAGCUGGAUCACCCUGACAGGCUGAACGGUAACACAAGCCCGAAUUGACCCUGAAAGCAGGCCCAACCCCUUGAUUGAAGGUGUUUGCCUAUUAUGAUCCAGCUACGUGGGCAGAAGAUGGAUCCUG